ACCCGGAGCAGGCGCAUAGGAGGGCUGGGGAGGGCCACCAGGGCGACGAGAGCCGGUGAGCCUGAAUCAGCCUAAAGGAGGCGGAGGAGGAGUGUGGUGGGCGCAGGGCCAGGGAGCUGGGGGAAGGGCGGGGGGCUAGCCCAGGCUGAAGGCAGGCAGGAGCAGGGCCGCGAUGUCAGACCAGAAACAGCAACACUGUGUUUGGGAACCUAGCAGCAACCGCACCGGUGGAGACAAGGUCGGCUGGAGAGGAGGUGGGGCCGGGUCCUAGCUAAGUAAGGCGGUGGACCUUGCAGCCCUUCCACCCUCAGCAGCUGGCUCUGGGCAAAUCUCGGGGCCAGUCUUGGCAGGGCUGUAAAGCGUCCACCAGAGCCUGGAUCCCUCCGCCACCUUGCCCAUGAAUUCAUCUUUCUGUGCACAGCGAGCCCCUAAGCGGAGACGGCCGACAAGUUUCCCACUGUUACCCCAGGGAACAGCGGCCCCUGAGGAGGUCAGGUCCUGGGGAGGGGCAGAGCUCAGCGCGCAGUACUGAGGCAGAAACGGGGUCCAGAGAGGGUGGGGUGGGGGACAGCGAAGGGUCGCCUGAAGCUCCCUGGUGCGGGGAGGCCAGAGGAGGGAUCUAGAAACCGUAGCGAGACGAGAACUCAGAAAAGAUCCGGCCCAGCGCAUUUAUUUUACGGAGGAAGAAAAACUGAGGCCCAGGGAGGUUUACCUGGAAGGUCCUCUCCUGCGCUGGCUCUGGGGGUGCUUGGAACCAGAGCUCCUUAGUCGAAGCGUGUCCUGCUGUCAGCCAACACCAAGUCCUUAGGCCGAGCCGGUUUCUCUCCUGGUGAUGUGAAUCCUGGUUUUUUUGUUGUUGUUGUUUACCGAAGUCCCGGGCUGAUUAGACUGGCAGCUGGGGGUGGCCUGGGCCGUGCAUUGAAUUUGUGACUUUAGCAAGUCCCUAAAAUUCCUCUCUGCCUCACUUUUGCUGCCUUUUUUAGGUUAAAAGUGUUUUGGAGAAUAGAAAACAAAACAAAAAUAAUGGCUUAUAGUGCCAAUAUGGAAUUAUAAUCACUCCUAACAUUUUGGUAUAUUGUUUGUAUUUGCUUUGUUUUUAUCUUAUGCUUAUGUAUUAAUUUUUUUCCAUCACUGUCAUCAUAUUUCCUAUUCAGGUCUUCAGCCUGCUUUAAAAAUUUUUUAAUCGUGAAGUUCCGUAAAAAUUUUAUUUCAGCCAAUUUCUUUUAUAACACGUUCUUCAUGAAUCUUAUCUGAUAUCUGCAUAAUAUUCCACUCAUACUUUGCCCAAUUAGACAUUUAGGUCGUGCGUACUUUUUAAAUUAUGAUACAGUAAUUUCUAAAUAGUGUAUAAUUUCAAUUUUUGUUUCUUAGUUAUCAUAAGAGUUCUUAAAAGGUGAUAACAAUUUUUUAAGUGGAUAGAUUAUUUUCCCCCUUCCUUGGUUUAUAAUUUUAUUGCUCUGUGGUCUGAGAAUGUGGCUGUCUUUACGCUUUUUGAAAUUUAAGUUUUUGAUUGAUGGUUGAUUUCAUAAAUUAGUGUAGGCACAGUUUUGUAUACUUGAUUGGGCACAAAAUUCUUUUAUAUUAGAUCAAGCUUUGUAAAAUGUAUUACCCAUAGCUGCUAUGUCUUUUUAAAAUUUUUAUCUACUUGAUCUAAUUUCUGAAAGAACUGUAAGUUUUUCAAAUGUAUUUGUGGAUUUACUAUUUCCUCUUUGUAUUUCUAACAGUUUGUACAUUGUAUAUUUUAAAGUGAUGUUAUGGAGUAUAAAAACCACAUAGCUGUUAAAAAGUAAUAAACAAAGAUACAUUUUGGCAU
Long non-coding RNA from Macaca mulatta (Rhesus monkey), 1813 nucleotides. The record is from Ensembl. Lineage: Eukaryota; Metazoa; Chordata; Mammalia; Primates; Cercopithecidae.